This 200-nucleotide ribosomal RNA is filed under the name uncultured bacterium. Its description in RNAcentral is "partial 16S ribosomal RNA". It matches the Rfam family "Bacterial small subunit ribosomal RNA", at positions 1300 to 1500 of the family's 1533-position model. The record is from RNAcentral.
GCAGGCUGCAACCCGCCUGCAUGAAGUUGGAAUCGCUAGUAAUCGCGGAUCAGCAUGCCGCGGUGAAUACGUUCCCGGGCCUUGUACACACCGCCCGUCACACCAUGAGAGUCGGGGACACCCGAAGUCCGUAGUCUAACCGCAAGGGGACGCGGCCGAAGGUGGAUUCGAUAAUUGGGGUGAAGUCGUAACAAGGUACC